This 95-nucleotide small nuclear RNA is filed under the name Ictidomys tridecemlineatus (thirteen-lined ground squirrel). Lineage: Eukaryota; Metazoa; Chordata; Mammalia; Rodentia; Sciuridae. The record is from RNAcentral.
GUCUCACUUUGGCAGACAUACUGAAAUUAGAAUGAUACAGUUUAGCUCCACUGCAGAAGGAUGAUACCCAAAUUCGCGAAGUGUUCCACAUAGAG